CCAAGAGCUGCAAACAUUAGCUGAUUAAUACUCAGUCUUCUUAGCUGCUGUGAUCAGUGGAGGAGCACAGUUGGCAGACAGCGGUCCAAAGAAUCUUCGAAUUGACAAUGUCUUCUAAGUUCAUGGAGAUCUGCUUAUUAG
Molecule: long non-coding RNA, 141 nt
Filed under: Mustela putorius furo (domestic ferret)
Lineage: Eukaryota; Metazoa; Chordata; Mammalia; Carnivora; Mustelidae
Description: lncRNA (ENSMPUG00000029152.1)
Source: RNAcentral